UCCGUAGGCGGGCAAUUAAGUCAGAGGUGAAAUCUCACAGCUCAACUGUGGAACUGCCUUUGAUACUGGUUGUCUUGAGUUAUAGUGAAGUAGAUAGAAUAUGUAGUGUAGCGGUGAAAUGCAUAGAUAUUACAUAGAAUACCGAUUGCGAAGGCAGUCUACUAACUGUAUACUGACGCUAAUGGACGAAAGCGUGGGGAGCGAACAGGAUUAGAUACCCUGGUAGUCC
This 229-nucleotide ribosomal RNA is filed under the name uncultured bacterium. RNAcentral describes it as "partial 16S ribosomal RNA". It matches the Rfam family "Bacterial small subunit ribosomal RNA", at positions 568 to 796 of the family's 1533-position model. The record is from RNAcentral.